AAUGUCGCAAUCAAUAUACCGUAGACAGUAACUGGGAAACCUUAAUUUGUUACCGAGGUGUUGAGUUUAUGAAGAACUUGAACUCCUAUCUACGUAUGGGAGUUUUAAAUAUAGCGCG
Non-coding RNA from Coprobacillus sp. CAG:235, 118 nucleotides. NCBI's taxonomy places the organism in Bacteria, Bacillati, Bacillota, Erysipelotrichia, Erysipelotrichales, Coprobacillaceae. The record is from Rfam.